GAUGAACGCUAGCGGCAGGCCUAACACAUGCAAGUCGAGGGGUAACGUGAGUGCUUGCACUUGACGACGACCGGCGCACGGUGAGUAACGCGUAUACAAUCUACCUUAUACUAGAGUAUAGCCCAGAGAAAUUUGGAUUAAUCCUCUAUAGUCUAUUAAUAUGACAUCAUAUAAAUAGUAAAGGUUACGGUAUAAGAUGAGUAUGCGUCCUAUUAGUUAGUUGGUAAGGUAACGGCUUACCAAGACAACGAUAGGUAGGGGCCCUGAGAGGGGGAUCCCCACACUGGUACUGAGACACGGACCAGACUCCUACGGGAGGUAGCAGUGAGGAAUAUUGGACAAUGGGCGAGAGCCUGAUCCAGCCAUGCCGCGUGCAGGAAGACGGCCCUAUGGGUUGUAAACUGCUUUUAUACAGGAAGAAACACCUCUACGUGUAGAGGCUUGACGGUACUGUAAGAAUAAGGACCGGCUAACUCCGUG
This 480-nucleotide ribosomal RNA is filed under the name uncultured bacterium. Its description in RNAcentral is "bacterial SSU rRNA". It matches the Rfam family "Bacterial small subunit ribosomal RNA", at positions 28 to 507 of the family's 1533-position model. The record is from RNAcentral.